Molecule: unclassified non-coding RNA, 210 nt
Filed under: Hevea brasiliensis (rubber tree)
Lineage: Eukaryota; Viridiplantae; Streptophyta; Magnoliopsida; Malpighiales; Euphorbiaceae
Source: RNAcentral
UUAAAAUUGAGAAAAAUACAACAAAAUCACUAGACAAGUUACAUGAAUCAAAGCAAACAAAUGCCCCAACUCCUCUAAGUAGUAUAAUUACCUCAGACGUCAGCCAACUCAUGUAUCCUUGGCAAUCACUGUCACCCCUCCGUCAUUGGUAGCAACAAUAACAGACGUCGCCAAACCAAGAAACAUCCCGUGCUCGACCACCCCAGCAAG